Molecule: ribosomal RNA, 579 nt
Filed under: Diaporthe sp. 2 YHY-2018
Lineage: Eukaryota; Fungi; Ascomycota; Sordariomycetes; Diaporthales; Diaporthaceae
Description: partial large subunit ribosomal RNA
Rfam family: Eukaryotic large subunit ribosomal RNA
Source: RNAcentral
ACGGAGGAAAAGAAACCAACAGGGAUUGCCCUAGUAACGGCGAGUGAAGCGGCAACAGCUCAAAUUUGAAAUCUGGCCUCGGCCCGAGUUGUAAUUUGCAGAGGAUGCUUCUGGCGCGGUGCCUUCCGAGUUCCCUGGAACGGGACGCCACAGAGGGUGAGAGCCCCGUAUGGUCGGACACCAAGCCUGUGUGAAGCUCCUUCGACGAGUCGAGUAGUUUGGGAAUGCUGCUCUAAAUGGGAGGUAAAUCUCUUCUAAAGCUAAAUACCGGCCAGAGACCGAUAGCGCACAAGUAGAGUGAUCGAAAGAUGAAAAGCACCUUGAAAAGGGGGUUAAAUAGUACGUGAAAUUGUUGAAAGGGAAGCACUUAUGACCAGACUUGGGCCGGGCGGCUCAUCAGGGGUUCUCCCCUGUGCACUCCGCCCGGCACAGGCCAGCAUCGGUUUUCGCGGGGGGAUAAGACCGGCAGGAACGUGGCACCCUCCGGGGUGUGUUAUAGCCUGCCGGACGAUACCCUCGCGGGGACCGAGGUCCGCGCUCCGCAAGGAUGCUGGCGUAAUGGUCAUCAGUGACCCGUCU